CUGGUUGAUCCUGCCGGAGGCCACUGCUAUGGGGGUCCGACUAAGCCAUGCGAGUCAUGGGGCGCGCUCUGCGCGCACCGGCGGACGGCUCAGUAACACGUCGGUAACCUACCCUCGGGAGGGGGAUAACCCCGGGAAACUGGGGCUAAUCCCCCAUAGGCCUGGGGUACUGGAAGGUCCUCAGGCCGAAAGGGGCAUCUGCCCGCCCGAGGAUGGGCCGGCGGCCGAUUAGGUAGUUGGUGGGGUAACGGCCCACCAAGCCGAAGAUCGGUACGGGCCAUGAGAGUGGGAGCCCGGAGAUGGACACUGAGACACGGGUCCAGGCCCUACGGGGCGCAGCAGGCGCGAAACCUCCGCAAUGCGGGCAACCGCGACGGGGGGACCCCCAGUGCCGUGGCAUAGCCACGGCUUUUCCGGAGUGUAAAAAGCUCCGGGAAUAAGGGCUGGGCAAGGCCGGUGGCAGCCGCCGCGGUAAUACCGGCGGCCCGAGUGGUGGCCGCUAUUAUUGGGCCUAAAGCGUCCGUAGCCGGGCCCGUAAGUCCCUGGCGAAAUCCCACGGCUCAACCGUGGGGCUUGCUGGGGAUACUGCGGGCCUUGGGACCGGGAGAGGCCGGGGGUACCCCUGGGGUAGGGGUGAAAUCCUAUAAUCCCAGGGGGACCGCCAGUGGCGAAGGCGCCCGGCUGGAACGGGUCCGACGGUGAGGGACGAAGGCCAGGGGAGCGAACCGGAUUAGAUACCCGGGUAGUCCUGGCUGUAAAGGAUGCGGGCUAGGUGUCGGGCGAGCUUCGAGCUCGCCCGGUGCCGAAGGGAAGCCGUUAAGCCCGCCGCCUGGGGAGUACGGCCGCAAGGCUGAAACUUAAAGGAAUUGGCGGGGGAGCACUACAAGGGGUGGAGCGUGCGGUUUAAUUGGAUUCAACGCCGGGAACCUCACCGGGGGCGACGGCAGGAUGAAGGCCAGGCUGAAGGUCUUGCCGGACACGCCGAGAGGAGGUGCAUGGCCGCCGUCAGCUCGUACCGUGAGGCGUCCACUUAAGUGUGGUAACGAGCGAGACCCGCGCCCCCAGUUGCCAGUCCUCCCCGCUGGGGAGGAGGCACUCUGGGGGGACCGCCGGCGAUAAGCCGGAGGAAGGAGCGGGCGACGGUAGGUCAGUAUGCCCCGAAACCCCCGGGCUACACGCGCGCUACAAUGGGCGGGACAAUGGGAUCCGACCCCGAAAGGGGAAGGGAAUCCCCUAAACCCGCCCCCAGUUCGGAUCGCGGGCUGCAACUCGCCCGCGUGAAGCUGGAAUCCCUAGUACCCGCGUGUCAUCAUCGCGCGGCGAAUACGUCCCUGCUCCUUGCACACACCGCCCGUC
RNAcentral lists this ribosomal RNA (1356 nucleotides) under uncultured archaeon. RNAcentral describes it as "16S ribosomal RNA". It matches the Rfam family "Archaeal small subunit ribosomal RNA". The record is from RNAcentral.